GUCUUGUAAUUGGAAUGAUGGGAAUUUAAACCCCUUCCAGAGUAUCAAUUGGAGGGCAAGUCUGGUGCCAGCAGCCGCGGUAAUUCCAGCUCCAAUAGCGUAUAUUAAACUUGUUGCAGUUAAAAAGCUCGUAGUUGAAUUUCUGCUGCAUCGUGGUUCUUCGCUAUGUCGAGUGAUCUUCGUUGUGGCUUAGUUGGGGCAUGUUUUCAUGACUCGACGUUUACUUUGAGAAAAUUAGAGUGCUUCAAGCAGGCUUUUGCCUUGAAUACUUUAGCAUGGAAUAAUGGAGUAGGACUUUGGUUCUAUUUUGUUGGUUUUAGGAGCCGGAGUAAUGGUUAAUAGGAACAGUUGGGGGCAUUCGUAUUUGACUGUCAGAGUAAAG
Molecule: ribosomal RNA, 382 nt
Filed under: Theileria equi
Lineage: Eukaryota; Apicomplexa; Aconoidasida; Piroplasmida; Theileriidae
Description: SSU rRNA
Rfam family: Eukaryotic small subunit ribosomal RNA
Source: RNAcentral